UGUACCCAUGCCGAACACAGAAGUUAAGCUUCUUCACGCCGAGAGUAGUUGGUGGGAAACUGCCUGCGAGGGUAGGUAGCCGCCGCGC
Molecule: ribosomal RNA, 88 nt
Filed under: Lactobacillus jensenii
Lineage: Bacteria; Bacillati; Bacillota; Bacilli; Lactobacillales; Lactobacillaceae
Source: RNAcentral